Cinara cedri is the source of this 425-nucleotide non-coding RNA. The record is from the annotation of a GenBank genome assembly. NCBI's taxonomy places the organism in Eukaryota, Metazoa, Arthropoda, Insecta, Hemiptera, Aphididae.
CAAUUAUUGUUUAAAAUUAAAACUGAUUUUAUUUGAUUUCGCUGAAGAUAUAUUAUAGGGCAUCUGCUAUUUGCCGCGGAUUUCUUUGCGAAAACAACAACUGAUUAUAAUACUAUGCGAUUGAAAACUACAGGCACAUAACAGCUGCUUUCCGUCAUUGUAAUAAAUUGAUCGAAAAUUGUAUCGAUAUUAUGUACAAAGUCCGUCCAGUGUUAAAUAUCGAAUUCAAUUUUAUUCGUGCUGAAAAUGAUUUUGCGAUAUACUUUUAGUAAAAAUAAAACGUUAUUGUUUGUUAUUUACCGGUACAGCGGACACGGCAUGUAGGUACCUAUCGAUUUUAUCGGUCGCCGCGGUACAAAAGCGCUACUGGACUGUCUCAAAUAUAAUCGGGCGAUUUGCUCUUUUGAACGUACCCAAAGUUCCUG